RNAcentral lists this ribosomal RNA (492 nucleotides) under uncultured bacterium. Its description in RNAcentral is "bacterial SSU rRNA". It matches the Rfam family "Bacterial small subunit ribosomal RNA", at positions 28 to 517 of the family's 1533-position model. The record is from RNAcentral.
GAUUAACGCUGGCGGCAUGCCUAAUACAUGCAAGUCGAACGGAAGCAGCAAUGCUUUAGUGGCGAACGGGUGAGUAACACGUAGGGAACCUACCUAUACGACGAGGAUAACUACUGGAAACGGUAGCUAAAACUGGAUAGGAUCAAUUGAGGCAUCUUGAUUGAUUUAAAGAUCCUUCGGGAUUACGUAGAGAUGGCCCUGCGGCGCAUUAGCUAGUUGGUGAGGUAACGGCCCACCAAGGCGACGAUGCGUAGCUGAGCUGAGAGGCUAAACAGCCACACUGGGACUGAGACACGGCCCAGACUCCUACGGGAGGCAGCAGUAGGGAAUUUUCGGCAAUGGGGGAAACCCUGACCGAGCAAUGCCGCGUGAACGAUGAAGGUCUUCGGAUUGUAAAGUUCUGUGAUUGGGGAAGAAUGGUAUUCUUAGGGAAUGAGGAGUACAUGACGGUACCCGAUUAGAAAGCCCCGGCUAACUAUGUGCCAGCAGCCG